GGGAGUGGCUGGGGUGAAGAGGCAUGGAGGCAAAGCUACUUCUGCAGGAGGGGAGGAAGACUCUCAGGGGGAAAAGACUGCCAGGGGCCUGGGAGUUCUGUUUUACAGAGCUUUCUGCUAUUUCCCCCAUGUGACCAGACAUCUGAAGAAAAAGAAACAGAUGGAUGUUUGCUAAAGGAUGGGCCUGAUGUCUGUGUUGCGAGACUCCCAGCCACGCUGGAGCCGGGAUCCCCAGACAAAUGAAAGCCAGCAGAUGGCAGCGAUUAUACAGAAGCUACUUUGCAGAGGAUAUUGGGGAUCAGCAGCCCACUCCGGACCUUGGACUCACCUUGAACUCACAGAUGAAAAGCAGAGGGAAGAAGAGUCCACAUCACCAUGCUGUGGUGGGUGCGAGCAGCCGGGCAGUCAAGACUGUGUGGUGGUUCUCAACGCUUUUGGCCUCAGGACCCUUUCACACUCUUAAGAACGUGAUCCAUAAGAGCGUCUCUGUGGCUAUAGAAACAUGACACCAGAAGUCGGGAGAACAAUGUGUGUGCGAGUGAGAGAGCUGUAAAGUCUCCUCGUAUUACUGAAUACUGAGGCUGCACAAGAAUUUCCUUCAGGGUAUCUCGUCUUCAUUUUCCCGUGUGUAUCUCUCAUCUUGUCUUUUCUAUCAGAAUGUGGGAUUCAUGUUGAAUUUUAUUAUAUCAUCUGGUGACAUUCCUCUGCUGAUUCUUUCUCCUCCCUUCCCCUUUACUUCUCACGUCUU
Molecule: long non-coding RNA, 748 nt
Organism: Meriones unguiculatus (Mongolian gerbil)
Lineage: Eukaryota; Metazoa; Chordata; Mammalia; Rodentia; Muridae
Exons: 5
Source: RefSeq, a predicted model, not a curated record